Molecule: ribosomal RNA, 407 nt
Filed under: uncultured bacterium
Lineage: Bacteria
Description: partial 16S ribosomal RNA
Rfam family: Bacterial small subunit ribosomal RNA
Source: RNAcentral
AUUGAACGCUGGCGGCAGGCCUAACACAUGCAAGUCGAGCGGAGCGGCGGACGGGUGAGUAAUGCCUAGGAAUCUGCCUGGGAGUGGGGGAUAACGUCCGGAAACGGGCGCUAAUACCGCAUACUAUCAGACGCGCAUAGGUCGGAUUAGCAAGUGGGUGGGGUAAAGGCCUACCAAGGCGACGAUCCGUAACUGGUCGGAGAGGAGGAUCAGUCACACUGGGAGUGAGAAACGGUCCCGACUCCUACGGGAGGCCGAAGGGGGGAAGAGUUGACAAUGGGCGAAAGCCUUAUCCAGCCCUGCCGCGUGUGGGAAGAAGGUCUUGGGAUUGGAAAGGACUUUAAGUUGGGAGGCGUUACCGAACGAAUAAGCACCGGCUGACUUCGUGCCAGCCGGCGCGGUAAUUC